UACGGGGGGGGUAAGCGUUGUUCGGAAUUACUGGGCGUAAAGGGCUCGUAGGCGGCCAACUAAGUCGGACGUGAAAUCCCUCAGCUUAACUGGGGAACUGCGUCCGAUACUGGAUGGCUUGGAUUUGGGAGAGGGAUGCGGAAUUCCAGGUGUAGCGGUGAAAUGCGUAGAUAUUGGGAGGAACACCAGUGGCGAAGGCGGCUACCUGGACCGGUUCUGACGCUGAGGCGCGAAAGCGUGGGUAGCAAACAGG
RNAcentral lists this ribosomal RNA (253 nucleotides) under uncultured bacterium. Its description in RNAcentral is "partial 16S ribosomal RNA". It matches the Rfam family "Bacterial small subunit ribosomal RNA", at positions 524 to 776 of the family's 1533-position model. The record is from RNAcentral.